GACGAACGCUGGCGGCGUGCUUAACACAUGCAAGUCGAACGGAAAGGCCCUGCUUUUGUUGGGUGCUCGAGUGGCGAACGGGUGAGUAACGCGUGAGUAACCUGCCCUUGCCUUUGGGAUAACUUCAGGAAACUGGGGCAAAUACCGGAUAGUAGCUCCUGCUGCAUAGUAGUGGUUGGAAAGUUUCGGAGGUUGGGGAUGGACUCGCGGCUUAUCAGCUUGUUGGUGGGGUAGUGGCUUACCAAGGCUUUGACGGGUAGCCGGCCUGAGAGGGUGACAGGCCACAUUGGGACUGAGAUACGGGCCAGACGGAUACGGGAGGCAGAAGUGGGGAACAUUGCACAAUGGGCGGAAGCCGGAUGCAGCAACUCCGCGUGCGGGAUGACGGCCUUCGGGUUGUAAACCGCGUUCGCCUGUGACGAAGCGUGAGUGACGGUAAUGGGUAAAGAAGCACCGGCUAACUACGUG
This 468-nucleotide ribosomal RNA is filed under the name uncultured bacterium. RNAcentral describes it as "partial 16S ribosomal RNA". It matches the Rfam family "Bacterial small subunit ribosomal RNA", at positions 28 to 507 of the family's 1533-position model. The record is from RNAcentral.